AAUAGAUACCCUGGUAGUCCACGCCGUAAACGAUGAGUGCUAAGUGUUAGAGGGUUUCCGCCCUUUAGUGCUGCAGCUAACGCAUUAAGCACUCCGCCUGGGGAGUACGGUCGCAAGACUGAAACUCAAAGGAAUUGACGGGGGCCCGCACAAGCGGUGGAGCAUGUGGUUUAAUUCGAAGCAACGCGAAGAACCUUACCAGGUCUUGACAUCCUCUGACAACUCUAGAGAUAGAGCGUUCCCCUUCGGGGGACAGAGUGACAGGUGGUGCAUGGUUGUCGUCAGCUCGUGUCGUGAGAUGUUGGGUUAAGUCCCGCAACGAGCGCAACCCUUGAUCUUAGUUGCCAGCAUUCAGUUGGGCACUCUAAGGUGACUGCCGGUGACAAACCGGAGGAAGGUGGGGAUGACGUCAAAUCAUCAUGCCCCUUAUGACCUGGGCUACACACGUGCUACAAUGGAUGGUACAAAGAGCUGCGAACCCGCGAGGGUAAGCGAAUCUCAUAAAGCCAUUCUCAGUUCGGAUUG
This 525-nucleotide ribosomal RNA is filed under the name uncultured bacterium. RNAcentral's name for it is "bacterial SSU rRNA". It matches the Rfam family "Bacterial small subunit ribosomal RNA", at positions 777 to 1300 of the family's 1533-position model. The record is from RNAcentral.